Lutra lutra (Eurasian river otter) is the source of this 3574-nucleotide long non-coding RNA. RefSeq lists it as uncharacterized. Lineage: Eukaryota; Metazoa; Chordata; Mammalia; Carnivora; Mustelidae. The transcript has 5 exons. The record is from RefSeq and is a predicted model, not a curated record.
UUAUUAAGCACUUGCCAUACACUAGGGACUUGUAUAGAUGUUGGAGAUUCAAACAAUAAGACUAUCCUCUUCAUGUUGCUUAUAUCCUUAUAUAUGUUGACCCUUGAACAACAUGGGUUUGCACUGUAUGGGCCCACUUAUAUGCUGAUUUUUUAUAGUAUGGUACUGUAAAUAUUUUCUUACAGUACUGUAAAUAUUUUCUUUACUGUAAGAAUGCAGUAUAUAAUACAUAUACAAAAUAUGUGUUAAUUGACUUUAUGUCAUUGGUAAGGCUUCCAGUUAACAGCAGGCUAUUAAGGGUUUUUUUUGGGGGGGGUCAAAAAUACAUGCAGAUUUUUUACAACAUGGGGUCAGCACCCCCAGACCCUGUGUUGUUCAAAGGUCAACUGUAUAGUGAAGGCACUGACUUUAUACAUUAAUUAAUAUAUUGUGAUAAGUGCUUUGCAAUAUGUAUGAGUCAUAGUUUCUGAAGUUCUGAAGAGGAAUGAACUUAACACUGCCUGCAGAGUCUGGAGGCUUCAUAAACCUGGUUUCCCUGGAGGUGCAUUUUGUACUUAUGUACUUAUGAAAGUUCACAGAAUUCUCGGGGAAUGGUGUCUCCCUCUAGGUGGAGUAUGGAGUGAACAGUGGGGUAUAGAGGCUGGAAGGCAGCCUUUGACCUCAAAGUUAUAGUACACAAGACUUGAAAUUGCACGCUAAGAAAAUCAGGAUGAAGGCUAUAGGCAAGGGCAGGAGAAUCCCCACCCUCAUUUAUAUGUUUUCAGUAACUUCCAGUAAUGUCAAAGAUGGACUUGGGAAUCACAAUCAAGUUUCUUUCCUCUCCUCCAACCCAUAUUUGACCUUCUAGUCCACUCUAACGGACAUAACUUUUAGUGGAGCAGCCUAAAACCGUUGGAGACUGGCUUAAGGAACACUUUAAUAGGUGGGAAAAUAGUAAGAUUAAACCAGGGACUUCUCAGUGACAAGAGAGGCAAAUACAGAUGGGAAGAUUUCAGGGAUAGCAUGGGAAAUGUUACUCCAUGUUACCUUCACUCUGUACUAUUAUGUCAUCUCAGAUAGUGCUUGAUAAGUGAGGUUUUCUCUGACUCACCCUGGCAAAUGGCAGCUGUCCCCUAAACUACCAAAUGCACACGUUCAUUUGUGUGCCCGUUUAGCUGCCAGCUUUAAUAUCUUUCCAUCUUUGUAUUCCUUUAGCCUUGUUCCUUUAGCACACCGCAAAAAGGUGCUGGGGUUACUGAAUGAAUAGAAAAUAGAUUCAUAAGUGACUGGAUUACAGGCCAUCUGGCGGCAAAAGCACUACUAUUAAAGGUCCAAUGAUAAGAUACUACACUGAUUACCAUUCGACCUAACCAUUCAUAGCACCUUAAAAAAAAUUUUUUUUUAUUACGCUGUAAAGCUCCCCUUCCCACAAGUAGGCACAGAGCGUAGAGUACCGGCUUCAAAAUAAUUUUUUUUUUCUUAGCUGAUUUUAACAAGGAUCUUUGUGCAAGUAUCUAUGUUCUAAGAAGAUGUCAGUCCAGAAAAUGGGGGUUUCGGUUUCCAUGUCAGCAGACAGCAAACCCAAUUCAAGUCUCUAAACCCCAAUUGCCGGCCAACGCGCCGGAACCAAAGCGUUGGCGCUUCAAUUUCCGGGCGGAGGCGCAGUAUGUCGCAAUGGGUUGAUUGCUUUGGCCUGGCGGAAGUCUAUCAGGAGAGGACCGCGGCCGCGAGGACCGUGGAAACGCAAGGAGCGUGUGAUGUCCUCGUCGCCCGAGAGCUUGAGCUGCUGAGUUUCGGGAGGCCACGCUGGCCCUGUUGGGACGACCAAGCGGGUCGGAGAGUUCAGUCGUGUUUGCACACGCGCUGAUCGAGUCCCCUUGUUGGUGAUGGAGAAGUGAGAGCAGAGAGACCGGAGGUAACCCUGCUUGUCAGUGGCAGUUACAACUCUAGAUGUUUGUGUGUCUGUUUUCAGUAUCCUCUCAGGACACAGUGCUUCCCAGACUCUGUCCCACGUCCACAAUUUAUGAUUCAUGUUGAAACCUAAUCCUCAUGAUACUGUUUGGAGGUGGGGCCUUCGAGAGAGGAUUACAUCAUGAUAAUGGAACCAUCAUGAAUGGGAUCAUUGCCCUUAUAAAAGAGGCCCCACAGAGCUCUGUGACCCUUCCUGACAUGUGAGGUUAUAGCCAGAAGACUAAACAAGGAAGGGGGGCUCUUAACACUGAAUUUCUUCCCACCUUGAUCUCGGACUUCAGCUUUUAAAACUGGCAUCUCUUUCCUUCUUACUGUGGUCAACACUGAAAAAGGAGGAAGUGACUGUUGGGUGGGCAGCUGACAGUGCCUGCUCCUUGUGUGAUAACGGUUCUUCACGAGACCCUCUGCACUCAGAUAACAUCACCGAGGAAGACGCUGUACAACAGCUGGUGCAGUUGCCAUCCUGAGAAGGAGCAAACCGGGCAGGAGUUGCUUUCUUCCGAUAAAGAAGCACAAAGGCAGAAUAAUCCAAAGAUCCAGACCAGAAGUCUUGUGAUGGUUUCUUAGGGAAGAGACUGCCCCCCGGGGCGGCGCUCCGGGCCUCUCCCGUCUCCCUGCCGCUCCCGGCUCUCGGUAGAAUUUAGCAGAUUCAUCACUGUGCUCCAUCCCAGCUCUGCUAUUUUUAGCUCUGUUGACUUCCCAACUAUAGGCAGACAACCAUCCUGUAGGCUAAGCACCUGGCAGGUGGGCAAGGGCGCCCCGGCAGAAGGAGAGGACGGCUCGCCCGGGGGAAGGAGGGCCUGGAGUCUCAGGCAGGAAGGAUUUAGAGAAGCCGAGAUCAAGCCUGCGGGCCCCCCCCACCCCCCUGGGGGACUCCAGGCUGGUGACCCCAGGGGCCCGGAUGACCCCUCCUGUCCUCCAGCCCGCGCCAGGCCGGCCCGCCGCGCCUUGGAAGUCGCUGCUCUUCUGCGCGCUCCCCUCCACCCCCCACCCUCAGGACCCACCUUCACGGCCACCACCGCGGCCCCACCACAGCCACGGCCACUCUCCAGCCUUUCCUCUGGCUGGAGCUCUUGUCACACCACUUAGGUUCAUCUGAAGUUUGACAAGAAGGCGGCGGAGUUUGCUUGUUGAUGGACAUCCCACCCCCACCCCCACCCCCACCGUGGGCUCUGACCCACGUCCGCCGGGAGGAGAACCUUGCGGGUCUCCGCCUGGAACGCCGCUGUGUGUCCGUGACUUUCAGUAAAUAAAUCGCGCCAUCAGGGGCCAGACGGAUCCUCGCCCUCCCCUCACCCGUGAAGCUGCUGUGGUGGCAGCUGGACCGCUGCUCCCUCAGGUCCCCGGUGAGUGCCUUUCACUCUGGCCAUCCCGGCCCAUCACCGGCGUCACUGCCCCGAAGCGCGAAGCGCGCGUCCAGCUCACCUCGCCGCUGCCGCUUUCACUCUGGUUCUUGCCUUCAGUCUGUCCGCGGGGGAGUCGCCUUAGAGCCUCAGCCUGUUUCUGGGAGUCUCAACUGUGCUUUUUUCGUUAAAAAAAGAAAAAAGAAAAAAAAUGGGGGGGGGGCAGCUUUAUUGAGGUAGAAUCGACAAAUAGAAAUUGUAUAUAUUACUUUGUACAAUGU